Molecule: long non-coding RNA, 2031 nt
Filed under: Pelobates cultripes (western spadefoot toad)
Lineage: Eukaryota; Metazoa; Chordata; Amphibia; Anura; Pelobatidae
Source: RNAcentral
GGUUGAACUUGAUGCAAUGAAGUCUUUUUUGUUGUUUACUUCGAUUGCUACGUAACUUUCUUUUUCUUUUUUUUCAGGUAGACGAUAAAGACUAACAAGAUUUCCUGAAACAGAUGUUGGUCAUCACACCUGCACAGGCCUCUCUUACUCUCUGUAAUUGUCUAAUUGAUUUAUAGCUUGUUCGGCAUUCCGAAGAUCCUGCUUCUAUCACCAACUCAGUAUGGAAACCGUCCUUGGCUGACUAGCUAUCCCCACUGAUAUUGAAGAGAUGCCCUGACUACAGUGGUGGGAGGGUUGCCGCUGUGAUCCUGUGUGAUGUGUAUCUUGCACAAUGGGUGUGUUCUCUUCAGGACUAAUUAUGUGUCUUACCAAACUUUUUAAUUAAUUAAUAUGCAUAUCAUGUUCAGAUCUUUCUCAGAGUUUUGCUGAGAACAUGAGGCUGAGGGAACAGAACAUAUUCUUAUUUUAAAAGGUAGGGAAUCUUAACACUGAUAAGUCUUUCAUGUUGUGUAUGAGUUUCUUUUUUUACAUAUGAUGUGACAUGUAUGGAGUGCUGAGCUUAGUGUAGGCAUUAUGCAAACACUUAUACGCCACUACUGGCAAAACCAUGACUCGUUAAUGCAAGCUUUCAGUCUAGAGUGGUAUGAAGCAUGUCAAACACAAGGUACAAUGGUGGGUAGGUAGACAUAAAGGGACAGACACUGUAGACAUUGAUUACUUACUCCAACAAACAGUGUGUCCUUUAUACUCCAGUAUUAUAGAUGUAAUGGAUGUCAUCUUAUUUUUGUAUUAUCUUUAGAUACUGUACUGCAAGGAUUCAUUUGAACGAUAGUUCAUUUGUCACCAUUCUCCAGCAGACAUUGUCUCAUUGAGAUGAAGAUUAGAGGGCAACGUCAGUUAGAAUACACUGGGAACACAUCUCACAGAUAAUCAGUUUCUUUAAACAGAGUUUCAGCAGAGAUAUCAUCAUGCUUUUUACCUUUACCUUCUCCAUUUUUCAAAGGAUUUAAACGUCAGAAACCUCAAGGCUUCUGAAAGAGAGCUGAAUCCCCCUGAACCCCCAUAGGAAUAUCCUGCUCCACUCACUCUCCCAUCUGGGUUUGGGGGAAAUGAUCUCUGAAGUAUGUGUGUGUGUGUAUAUAUAUUAAUACACACGACCUAAUCUUUCAUUGAAUAUAAACAUUACAUUGCAAUACUGCUGACAACUUUUGGCCCGUGUGGUCAAGAACAAAUGAUCAUGAAGCUUCCCAUUUCUUUUUGUCGAUGGUCCUACUCACACAUAAUAGAUGGGUUUGCCACAUGGGGGCUGCUGGGGUUGGUAGAUGUGACAUCAUAUAUCCCUGCAUUUUCCAUCAAUAUGACAUACACAGCAUGACAGAGAUGGCAUCACCACUGACAUCAAUGUUUCAUCCCCCUGCAGCUACUUCAAACAUCUCCUGGGACAUCAUACAUACUCAUCAUGCAUCUUGCAACCUGGUCAGCCCAGAUGUUGCAGUCUCUGGAAAUAUCUCAGUAAGCCAAUUCAUUGAGAUUAUGGACCACCAGCUGAUGGACUAAGCCGCACAAUGCUGGCUAGCAAAACCUCUCAGUUCCUACAUGCGGCCCCACUCCUGCUCUGACAAGUCAUCCCAACGCACCUCCAAAAUCAGCAGAUCAAUGGUUCUAUGAGGCUGCAGCUCACAAACCAUGGGUGCUAGUCUUCUGGGAAACAACUGUCCUCCUGCUCCCCACGCCAUCCAACCUCUGCCAGUUUCACAACGUAAACACACAGCAUUAGGUUUCUCUUGAAGAAAUUGUUGAAUCCUCGCUAUCUAUUCGUUAUCACAAAACUUUAGCAAGCAAAUGUCCCUUUCAAUUAUCUGUUUUUGAUACACAAUAUUAUUUUGACACUAUUCUGUGUUCACAGUAAAAUUGCAUCUAAUAAUCUAAUAAUAUCCCUUAUUUUAGGUUUAAUAAUAGCUACAAGGCAACUUCAUCUUUAUUCUUUAUUAUAAUGCAAGUUAAUGAGCAAUGUGAAAAAUGCCUUUCUAU